Molecule: ribosomal RNA, 366 nt
Filed under: uncultured Anoxybacillus sp.
Lineage: Bacteria; Bacillati; Bacillota; Bacilli; Caryophanales; Anoxybacillaceae
Description: bacterial SSU rRNA
Rfam family: Bacterial small subunit ribosomal RNA
Source: RNAcentral
GUUCCGGGGGACGAGGGUGACAGGUGGUGCAUGGUUGUCGUCAGCUCGUGUCGUGAGAUGUUGGGUUAAGUCCCGCAACGAGCGCAACCCUCGACCUUAGUUGCCAGCAUUCAGUUGGGCACUCUAAGGUGACUGCCGGCUAAAAGUCGGAGGAAGGUGGGGAUGACGUCAAAUCAUCAUGCCCCUUAUGACCUGGGCUACACACGUGCUACAAUGGGCGGUACAAAGGGUCGCGAACCCGCGAGGGGGAGCCAAUCCCAAAAAGCCGCUCUCAGUUCGGAUUGCAGGCUGCAACUCGCCUGCAUGAAGCCGGAAUCGCUAGUAAUCGCGGAUCAGCAUGCCGCGGUGAAUACGUUCCCGGGCCUU